Molecule: ribosomal RNA, 253 nt
Filed under: uncultured bacterium
Lineage: Bacteria
Description: partial 16S ribosomal RNA
Rfam family: Bacterial small subunit ribosomal RNA
Source: RNAcentral
UACGGAGGGUGCAAGCGUUAAUCGGAAUUAUUGGGCGUAAAGCGCGCGUAGGCGGCUAUUUAAGUCUGAUGUGAAAGUCCCGGGCUCAACCCAGGAAGUGCAUUUGAAACUGUUCAGCUAGAGUAAGGGAGAGGAAAGUGGAAUUCCUGGUGUAGAGGUGAAAUUCGUAGAUAUCAGGAGGAACACCAGUGGCGAAGGCGGCUUUCUGGGCCACGACUGACGCUGAGGCGCGAAAGCUAGGGGAGCGAACAGG